CCCUGAGUGGUGCAAAUGGUUAACACGUUCAGCUGCUAAAUGAAAAGUUGGAGGUGCAAGUCUUCUCAGAGGCA
Molecule: transfer RNA, 74 nt
Filed under: Loxodonta africana (African savanna elephant)
Lineage: Eukaryota; Metazoa; Chordata; Mammalia; Proboscidea; Elephantidae
Rfam family: tRNA
About the family: Transfer RNA (tRNA) molecules are approximately 80 nucleotides in length.
Source: Rfam by way of RNAcentral